Molecule: long non-coding RNA, 2727 nt
Filed under: Homo sapiens (human)
Lineage: Eukaryota; Metazoa; Chordata; Mammalia; Primates; Hominidae
Description: HSALNT0373506
Source: RNAcentral
CCAGAAGUUGAUGGGAGCAUCCCUUGAGCCCAGGAGUUCAAGUCCAGCCUGGGCAACAUAGUGAAAUCCCACCUCUCAAUCUUUUAAAAAAUUAAAUUACAACUUCCCAUAUUAUAAAAAAGUACUGCAGCUCCAAGCUUGAAUGGAAAUUCAUUAGAUUUUUAUAAAUUUGAAGGAAGUUUAUUUCUGAAAAUAAAUUUUGUUGAAUUUCUUCUUAAGGUGGAAAUUUGUUUUUCAUUCCUUUUCUUUGCAUGUGAGUUUUGUAUCAGUUGUGGAACUCUAUAGCUCCACUACAUAUUUGGGUAUUUGAAUAUUUGAAUCUGUUGUGCUUUUUCCAGGAAAUUCUGAAUUUUAGGAUAGUCUACAGGUACCAUAAAUUGAGAAGUCCAAACAAUUCAUUAUCUUCCUUGAAGCCCAAACCUGCCAUUUUUCUCAGAUAGGAAAGCCACCAAACAUAGGGAGCAUGCCUGCCACUUCCCUCUGGCCCGUCUCUGGCUCAUCCGCCACAGAGACCUAUUUAUUACAUCCCCUGAGUAUUCUUCUAAUUCCCCCUCCUUUCCAUCCCCACUCUUUCAGCCACACUUCAGGACCAUGGUCUGUGCAUCGCUUAGUCUCAUCCUAAUUUAUCCGCAGCUCCACCCACUCCAACCUCCUCUCCCCUCUCUAAGACAACCUUUACUUCCCCACCUAUGCCUGUUCCAAUUUACUGUCUCUGAACCCCACAUAUGCCCUUUUCUGCCCUACAUUAUGAUAACUGGAGCUGGACCUAAUUUCUUUCGUUAGCGGGCACAAUGUUAGACCUUGUCAGUAGAGGGCGCUAGAGGGACACUGCACAAGGAAGGGGCUUCUCUUCUGGUUCCAGCUCUGUUCUUAGAAAACAAUGAGCUGUCUCCUUGCCAACCAGCAGCUCCCUUGGUAGGGGCAUGCAGAAGACCUGAUGACACAAACCCUCCAAAGAGUUUCACCCUCACCACAACAGGUGGCUUCCUGCUCGGCAGCCCAUCCUGCAUCACUUCAGUGGACUUCUCUGACAUCUACUAGACCACAUUAAAUGAAUCACAGCCUUGAAACUGAACUGGAAGGACUUCCUUCAAGAUUUUUAUCUAAUUCCUGUUGGACAGUGUAAAAUGCCACUUCUUCCAGGGUUGCCUGCAUAUCAUCAAAAGGGAAAUAGUACUCAUCGAAGAUGUGCCUUUGCUAGGAACUAGGACAAGGGUGGCCUUUAUAAAUUCAUGAAGAGAAGGAGCCAGCAUAUGAACUUGCUGCCUAUCUUUAGCAAGGAGAUGCAAAUGACAUCCACAAACCUCUUCUGCUGUAUACCUGGAUGAAAGCAAGGCUAGCUGUGUGUCCUAUGGCACCAAGGACUGAAAGAUUGUAAGAAGUAAGAGGGAAAGUGAUCCAAAAAGGUGGAACACCUAAUGUACAGCCCCAAGGAAGGAGCAUACUUGGAGAAUUCAAGGAACAGAAAGAAAAACAGGAAGGCUGGAGUGAAACUGAUUAAAUAAAGCAUCGUAACAUUAGAGGUCCAUCAUAGAGGCCAAGCCAAAUACAACUAUGUUUUCAAGCAUAAGAUGGAUAGAUGUGGUAAACCACAAGAAGCAAACAGCCCUUUAGAGGUGUGGAUUGACCUUGCAGAGUUACAAGUGGAGCCAGGAGAAAUCAUGUUGAGUGGGACUUCUCAUCCUACCUAAGAGAGACUAACAGAUGGAAAGCUGGGUACAGAAGGGAGAGAAGGCAGUAACAGUCAGAUUUCAAUACGCUGAGACUGUGACGUGGGACUUUUGAGUGAGUAACAUCUGCUCCUAGAACUGAGUUGAGUGGGGAUCCUCCCACACCACCCAGGCAAGAGAACUAACAAUUGAUGACUGCUCCAAAUCAGUCGCCAGUCUACCUAAUACUUCUACCUGAUGUGAUGCCAGAAGUAGAGCAGCCAUCUUGCAACCACAAAGCAACAGCAUGAGUAUGAAAGUUAGUGCAUUAAGGAUGCUGGAAUAGAAUGAUUGAAAGCCAGAUGCCUAAUGACGUUGCUGAAUAGCUGAAACAAUACCAGCAACUAGCUGGUCUUGCUCUGUUGCCUGGCCUGAAGUGCAGUGGCAUGAUCAUGGCUCACUGCAGCCUCAACCUCCCAGGCACAAGUGAUCCUCCCACCUCAACUUCCAGAAUAUAGAAGCUGGAACUACAGUGACCUACAUCCAAAGUGAAAAGUUAUUCAGCCUCUGAAGAGAAGCAUUUUGUUUGGGGAUCUUCAAGUAUGCUUGUCAGCACCGAGAACUGGAAAAAAAUCUCUGAUUGUCCUGCAGCAAUGGCAUUAAAGGCUCCUCAUAACAUACAGAACCAGAAUUGUGCCAUAAUUUACUGAAAUUGAACAUUGCUCUGUGACUGCUAAUUUUCCAUCGAGAUGAUUCUGUCUCUAACCAAGAAAAGAAAAGUUUGUCUUCCUGACUGCUGACACUGCUGACCAAGCCCACCACCAGAUGCCUGGCUGCACACCCAGAGGGCAGCCGCUUCCCGUGGUCCUCUCGAAGAACUUCCCUUUUGCAAUGCAUGUUUAGCAAGUGGAUGAGUUUGUCUUUUCUGAUUUCUCUGCAAGCUCUGCAUUGCCCACCUGAACCAGUGCUUCAGAAGAACUAAUGGGAUCUCUGACCCUCCAACAUCCUCUUCCAGACUUUCACUUUCCUGGCUCCUUGCAGGGACAUGUAAUAAACGUGCUCUCCAGAGAAAGCCUGA